GUCCAGGGGUGGGAAUCGAACCCACAAUUAUCCGCUUACCGGGCAAUGCCAUGUCCACUAGGCUACCCUGGA
Molecule: transfer RNA, 72 nt
Filed under: Cordylochernes scorpioides
Lineage: Eukaryota; Metazoa; Arthropoda; Arachnida; Pseudoscorpiones; Chernetidae
Description: tRNA-Thr
Source: RNAcentral